RNAcentral lists this transfer RNA (76 nucleotides) under Acinetobacter pittii. RNAcentral describes it as "tRNA-Gly". It matches the Rfam family "tRNA". Rfam says of the family: Transfer RNA (tRNA) molecules are approximately 80 nucleotides in length. The record is from RNAcentral. RNAcentral also lists the same sequence under 1 other name. Lineage: Bacteria; Pseudomonadati; Pseudomonadota; Gammaproteobacteria; Moraxellales; Moraxellaceae.
GCGGGAAUAGCUCAGUUGGUAGAGCAUAACCUUGCCAAGGUUGAGGUCGCGAGUUCGAGUCUCGUUUCCCGCUCCA